GACGAACGCUGGCGGCGUGCUUAACACAUGCAAGUCGAACGACGUGGCGAACGGGUGAGUAAUACGUGGGUAACCUGCCCUCCUUUUUGGGAUAAGCCUUGGAAACGGGGUCUAAUACCGAAUAAAGGGGGAUGGGCUCGCGGCCUAUCAGCUUGUUGGUGGGGUGAUGGCCUCCCAGGGCGGUGACGGGUAGCCGGCCUGGGAGGGUGACCGGCCACAUGGGGACAGAGAUACGGCCCAGACACCUACGGGGGGCAGCAGUGGGGGAUAUUGCACAAUGGGCGAAAGCCUGAUGCAGCGACGCCGCGGUAAUAC
This 315-nucleotide ribosomal RNA is filed under the name uncultured bacterium. RNAcentral's name for it is "partial 16S ribosomal RNA". It matches the Rfam family "Bacterial small subunit ribosomal RNA", at positions 28 to 409 of the family's 1533-position model. The record is from RNAcentral.